This 531-nucleotide long non-coding RNA is filed under the name Homo sapiens (human). RNAcentral's name for it is "HSALNT0093347". Lineage: Eukaryota; Metazoa; Chordata; Mammalia; Primates; Hominidae. The record is from RNAcentral.
CACAACUACCAUAUGAGUAUUGAUUUUAAUUAGUUCUGUCUAUUAAGAUUCCCCUUAGGUUCAGAAGCCAGACUGGUAAUUAACUGUUCAGCUUUCCUCUUGCUGACGGCAUUGUUAGGAUCAUCACAUUUUGGAGUUCUCAGUCCUGUGUACAAAGUCCAACUAUCUGAGGCCACCAUGCACUUAGGAUGUCCAGGCCACCUGGAGAGGCUACCAGAUAUGUGUAUGAAGAAGUUGUCUUGAAAGUGGAUCUUCCAGCCCAUGUUAUUCUAGCUACAGCUGUUUGAGUCUCCUUGUACAAGCCCCAGACAUCAUGGAAUGGAGAAGAGCUGAGCCACGGUGUCCUCUCCAAAUUCUCAAUCCACAAAACUCAUGAAAAUAAUAAAAUGAUUGUGUCUUUGUGCUACUAAAUUUAGGGAAAUUUGUUAUUCAGCAAAGAUGAUUAGAACAAGAGACCACAAUUUGACUAUCAUAUUUCAGAAAUGACACAGAUCCAGAGAGGUUAAAUAAAUCAUUUUAUUCAAAUGAAGA